RNAcentral lists this small RNA (83 nucleotides) under Marmota monax (woodchuck). The record is from RNAcentral. Lineage: Eukaryota; Metazoa; Chordata; Mammalia; Rodentia; Sciuridae.
GCCGGGCGUGGUGGUGCACGCCUGUAAUCCCAGUGGCUCAGGAGGCUGAGGCAGGAGGAUUGCAAGUUCAAAGCCAGCCUCAG